RNAcentral lists this long non-coding RNA (7092 nucleotides) under Drosophila guanche. Lineage: Eukaryota; Metazoa; Arthropoda; Insecta; Diptera; Drosophilidae. The record is from RNAcentral.
ACAGAUACACGACGAUCUAGAGAAGGAUCCGGACUAUUCUGGCUCUGGCUUUGGACCGGAUGACGAGGACGCCGAGCCGGAUCAUCACUCGCAGCACGGUUCGCACAACACGCGCAUCUCGCAGACCGGCGGCUCCAGCAUAAACAGUAAGCAUAAUUCGAACGACAACAGCCACAACGACGACCUCGACCACAUAUCGAGUAGAUUCAACAACAACAACAACAACCUGAACCAAAUCGACAACAACAACAGCCAGAAUAUUAAUUACAAUAAUAAUUAUAAUAAUAAUAAUAAUCCCAACCUUAAUAACAAUCACCAUCCAGCGAAUAGUGGCACAAUCAUUGGUAGUAGCACCACAGCGAACCAUAACAGUAAUCAGAAUCACAUCGGCGGCCAGAGCGGUGGCAUCAUCAGUGGCAGUGGUGGUGAGAUCGGUGGUCAUAGUGGCACUGGCAUUAACACAAUCGGUAAAGAUCAAGCUAGUUUUGUAGCUACUCUAAGCGAGACAUUCUAUCUUCUACUACUUCCACUACUUCAACUUCAACUCCUCCCUCUUCUACCCACCACCACCACACCACAGUACACCACAUUUUAGUUAUUACAAAUCCAACAAUUACACCAUCAACAGAUACAGAGCCGAAAACAACAACAACAACAGCAGCAACAGAUACAGUUACAGUUACAACAGUCAUUGCCAGCUUAGAUUAUAGUUAUGUUAGAUCUAGAGACAACAACACUAACAAUCAAUCAUUCACAACAUCUACAAGAACACCAACACCAACAACCCCAUCUCUAUAUCCAGCAGCUCAUACACCAACACAAACCUCAUCCACAACCUCAACAACAACAAGCAGUUCACCAACAACGACAAGCAGCAGCAGCAGCACCACCACCACCAGCACCAGUACGACAACUGCGGCCACAACCACAUCAACCACAGCUGCCUCGAAUCGCACCCAAACCACGCCUAAGCCCCUUGUUGUCGAUUCCACCACAGCGAGCCGUCCCUUACCCCACUUCCCAGCCUUCGAUGAGGAGCUCGAUGUGGAUGAGGAUGCCAGUGGCGAUGGCAUCGAUGUGGAAGGUGGCGGCGAGGAUGAUGACGAGGGUGACGAUGACGACAUCAUCAUUGAUCAUCCCGAUUCCGGGAAGCCAAAGUUUGCAGUGCCCGUUCCCGAUGGUAGCGAUAACAUCGAUCAUGAUUCUGAUCAUGAUAUCGAUAGCGAUACCGAUGAUGGCGAUGGUGAUAAUGAUGACACCGACGAUGAUGAUAGCAUCAUCGAUGUGGAUGGCGGCAAUGAGGAUGGCACUACCAACGGGAAUGGAAAUGGAAAUGGAAUCCGUGGCAACGAUGGAGACCUCAACACAGAGCGCGGACGUCAGUGGUUUUUAUUUUUACUCCUCUUUUUUAUACUUUCCUUUUGAUUAUUUGCUUUUUUUUGUUUGUCUAUCCGUUUUGCCUUUGCUUUUUAUGUUGUGUUUUUUGUAUUUUGUGUUUCAUUGUUGCUUCUUGUUUUGUCCUCCUCCCACCCACAAUGCGAUUCCUUUUUGUGUUAUGUCUCUGCCCCCAGCUUAUGUUUUGGAGAGACACCAAUUGUGGUAUCUCCGGCACUGCAUUCCUUUUAUCGUAUUUUAUUUAACAUUAUAUUUAUUUUAUUUGUAUCUUCUAAAGCACUUUUUUCAACAGCAAACAAAGUUUUCUCGCUUGCAUUGUAGUUGAUUUCUUGGGUAUUUGCUUUGGUUUCUGUUACGUUACGUUAUGUUACGUAGUUUGAUUGGUGCACACAUUCAAGUAUAUAGAAUAUUCCUUACAAUUACUUACAUAUAUAUAUUUGUUAAGUUUUACCUUAGUUUUUCUCUACUGCGCGCUCUGGCAACGAACAAUGCUGCGGGGUUUCCUUUUGUGUGGACUUUUACAUGGAAUUCCUCCCCGCACACCCCGGCUAUACAAUGGCCAAUACACCAUAAUUCCCACACUUUCAUUCUGUGACCAAUUUUCAUCCAUUGACCAUACCAUUCCAUUCGAUUCAUUCAUUCAUUCAUUCAGUCUGCUUUUGGCAUUUAUUCAUUCAUUUGUUCGAUUGGAAAAACUCCCGCAGAGCCAACACAAUUCCAUUGGCUCGAACCUCAACCUCAACCUCACGCUCAUUCUCAUUCACAUUCUCAUAGACUUUAGUGUUAACCCUAGGAUAAAGCUAUUCUAAGUCACAUAAUUUAAGGAUAGCUUAAGUGUGUUUUAUGUACGCAUCAAAUGAGAACGGUAGACGGGGCAUCCACCAUCCAUCGAUUCAUCGAUUGAGAUGCACCCGCACACGCCCUCCAUCAAGGUUCUGCAUAUAGAGAGUCCUGCCCUAGGCCCAAAGUUCCAUCAACACUGUCGCGGCUCCCCCCUGAAGAACCGCCCUGGAAUCACACUAAGCCGCACAGUGAUUUUGUGCUUUGUUGCUCUUCGAGUGGAAAGCACUUGGAAAGCGCUCCUCACUGCGCUCCACUUGAAAUGAAAAAUCACCAAGUCCCUGGCAAUGGCAGUGGCAAGGAGCGCCUCCAAAUCCACUCCACACAAAACUCCCAACGACUUGGGGGCAUUGUUGCUCUUACCCCGAAACCCAUUCAUCCUUUGUGUAUGUGGCAAACACUAUUUAUGAAGCGAGUGGGGAGGGAGGGAGAGCACAAACAAAGUCUAAUGGGAACCCAGGAGUGGAUCUGAUAGGUGUAUGGGCACUGUGUGUGUGUGCGUGCGUGGGCUGCGAAUAUAUGGCCAGCUUUGAUGUUUGUGCCAGUGCCAGUGCCACGCCCAGUAUAAACACGAAGCACAAACCAUGUGGCAUAUGGCAGGCGUCUAGCACACAGCAGGACCACAAUUUCGGCCAUAAUUGCGUCCACAGCUGUCCAUAUGCUUUAUACUGAGCAUUAAAUCCUGCAGUUCCUAGUGCCAGCAAGUCCAGCAUUAAGUGCAUUUCUCCCCGUCCCACAUCCAAUCGGAGAUACACGGAUGGAUACACCUUUAUUGGCUUCGUGCAAGCAGACAGACAGACAGACAGACAGACACACAAUCAGUUUGAUGGAUACACAUAGACAGGAAUGCUCUAUCACAGGAUGAAGUUAUCUCAAAAUCAGAAGAUGGCAGAUGAGAAAAUGGCAUUAAAAGGCAAAUAUUUCAUUUAUAGCUUCACCGUGGAUGGAGUUCUCGUCGGGUCAGACGCGACUUUGAGAUGUGUGCUUCGAUUCGAUCAUUUUCCAAUGAUUUGCUUGAGUUUCAAUUCGAUUACGAGUGUGUGUCUGGCGGCAAUUCAAUAAGCCUUUUGGCCAUUACCUAAUUAGCAUGCCACUCUCCCAAUCUCACUUACUCCGCACCAAUCUACUCCCCCAAGGAGGGGUGGAGCAUAAGCCACACACAUGUGUGUGGGUAUGUUUCAUGGGGCAAAGUACAUGGGCUAAACAAGCAAAUUGUUUGUCUUAAGCAUAGGGAGGCCAAAGCGGAUUGGGAUCCAGAUGGAAAGAUGAAAACAGACUAGGGGUCAUGGGGUUAAACAAUGGCUCAACAAAGCACAAAGAACACACACGUAAUAAGUGAAGUGGAGGGAGGGAUGUGGGUGUGGGUGUGGGUGUGGGUGUGGCUGUCAAUUAAAUUAAUUUAAAUUUACUUUCUUUGACAGCCAAAUUGUCAUUCAAAUUGCUCUUCUCUUUCAACAUGUCGCUCUCGUGUCAGAUCCGUGAAUACUUUUGAGGUAGGUGUCCAUGGAUUCACCAUCUAUCAUCUCGAAACUGCUCUCGCCUUACGCUGAAGCCUACUGAGAUUUCCCCCAUGCAAAUUUGUCACAAUUUGCAUUACUCCGCCUCUCGGCUGCUAACUUUUUUCAUUUGGCCAUAACUUUUCCGUAUUGCUCAUUAGCGUGAAAUGAGCUCAAAAGUUGGGCUCGUGCGGGUGGGCAAACAAUCAGACAGACAGUCAGUCGGAUGGAUGGGUGGUAGGAGCCGCCGGCAGUACGUAGUCUAGUUUUAUAAGACUUGAAGUUCGGCAUAAGGUAUCCUUUCUACUUGUAAACGUAGUCCCGAAUCACAACUCUACUAACCGUAAGCCUUGUAUAUAUCGCAUAAAAUAUCAUUAACACACGUAACAUAACCACCCUGAAACAGAUAUAGACACUCGAUCCGAUCGGAUAUCGGAGUACUCACCCGCAACAACAGAUCUAUGUCUCUCACUCACAUAAACACACACACACACACACACACACACACACACACACACAUAAACACACACACUAUCUGUUUUUGUAUUAUUUUGCUUGCACGUCAUGGGCAUUCUCGUAAAUGGAUAAUUUUAAUCCCCAGCUAUGACACUCAAUCUCAUCUCUGACUUUAUGCUCUAUUUUCUUGGCACAGCGGGAGGUGGCAGCAGCGUGCACGAGUUGGACCCGAAUACGAACGUAAACAGCCAGCCCUCCGACACAAAGCCCGUCGACCACAGGCCCAACGGCAACGAGGUGGUCAUCAUGAGCGAGGACGAUCGUACGUCGAGCUUCUUCUCGCAGCCAGGAAUACUGGCAGGUAAGAGGCCAUUCCCUCCUUGUUCACCCGACAAUCUCUGACCAUACAUUUUUUCUCAUCCCUGCACCUUUAGCUGUCAUUGGCGGUGCCGUGGUUGGCCUGCUUUGCGCCAUUCUUGUGGUGAUGUUCAUCGUGUACCGCAUGCGGAAAAAGGACGAGGGCUCCUACGCCCUGGAUGAGCCGAAGCGCUCCCCGGCCAACAAUUCCUAUGCGAAAAAUGCGAAUAAUCGCGAGUUCUACGCCUGAGAUAAUGGCACAUCGCGCAGGUAUUAAGUGAGCCAUGAGUGAGGAUCCACCCGUAUGGAGAUCCAUCUCGAACGGGAUACGGAUCUUAGCGGAGGAGGAGAUGACGGCUCAUCUCGAUACACUGUGCGGAGUGCGAAGCGCGGAAGGAGCAGCGCCAUCAGCAGCCAUCUGCCACAAUGAGUAAUCAUCAGCAACAGCAACAGCAAACAGCAAAAGCAAAAGCAACAAAACUAACACAAAUUCAAUGAAAAUCGAAGGCAUCUUCGGAUCACAUACAAUUUUUCGUUGGGGGGGUAAACUAAACGCAUUAAACCAUGAACAACCAAGUAAAAGCGUGCAGAGAUUCGAGAGGAACACAUAAACAAAAACAAUUCAAAACUUACCUGUAAGCUAAUGCCGGACGGUUGACGGAGGAGGGCGACUUUUCUAAUUAAGUAAAUUUUAAGCGACGAAAACAAAAGGAAAACCAAUAUCAAAUAUGAAUGGAAGCGCACGCAAAUCGUGCGAAAUCUAAUAUAUAAUUAAUAUAUAUUAUAUUCAUAGUGAAACCAAUAUAAGGGCGGGCAAAAUUAAGCGAAUUAAUUAUGAAUUACGAGUAUGUAGAGCAAAGGCAGGAGGAGAGCGAGAAAUAAUACCUAUAAUAAUACCACAAAACACGACGCAGCGCCUACAUGGACGAUGUGGAUGGAGGCAGCGACAGACGCAUAUUGAAUACACAAUUAUGAAUAUACGAGUAUAUGUUAGCUGAAUAAUGGAAGCGAAUUGGAUAUAUCAUGAUUAUACACCCGCUCUCGAAAGACCCCUUUAAAUCCAAUGGUCAGUCACUUCCGCCAUCCAUUUCACACCACGGAAAAAAGAGAAUAAAAGUUAAUCCGUUGGGAAUACCAAUAAUUAUUGUGAAUUGCGAAUUGUGCGACACAUAACAAGCGGAAAUUGAUUCAUAAAUUAAUGUUUUUAGGUUAAACAUAAGCAAAACUAUGUAAUUAUUAGUGUAAUUCCUAAAACAAAAACAAGAAGAACCACACAAAUGGAAAAAUACAAAAAAAAAACUUUAAGAGAAAAACGAAAAAUACUAAAUGAAGCAAAAAAACAGAAUACGAACACUCUCUGAACCUUCCUGGCAACUAAACAAACUAAAAAGGAAUUAGUAAUGAAAUGAAGAGAACUAUUUCUACUUUUUUCUAAAUAAAAAAAACACACACAAAAACUUGAAUAUUUAUUGAAAUUGAGAUUGAAAAUAAUAAUGAAAAACGAAAUCGAAAAGUAUAUAAGGACAUAAAACGUCCAGAAAGCGAUUGUACAUUAAUUUAGUAUUCCAUAUGGGUUUUAAAAUUAAUCGGCCAGUCUCCCACGCUCGACUCCACUGCUUCUUCCAUGGCUAAGAAUCAAAAUCGGAUUACGCAUUGAUUAUUGUGCAUUUAUUUAGUUUUUACGUUCGCUGUCAGUGACAAUUGUUUAUUUUUGCAAGCAAAAUACAAGUCCGAAGAACGAAGAACACAAAACAACACGAGCCAACCCAAUCCAAUCCAAUCCAAUCAAAUAAAAUCAAAUCCAAUCCAUUACCACAUGCAAUAGUAAAAAUUACUUGUUAAGUUUACAAUUGAAAUGAAACGCAAACCAGCAGGAAAUGUUAAUGACUCAGCCCUCAAAUUAGCUGCAAUACUUGUUUAAUUGUUAGUCAACCCAUAUUCUCUCCAGCUCUAAUGCCAUAUUUUCAUUACGAAAAGAAGUUAUAAGAACGAAAAAUACUAAUACAUAAUACAUUUAUAUACAAGUAUAUAUAAUUAGCAACAUAAAUCAAUUGUGUGUGUAAAUGUGUGUAAUGCAUAAAUAAUUAAUUAAACAUACAUAUACAUACAUACUACUACUGCGACAACAGAGCGUGCACCAAAGGGGGAAGGAAGCUCUCGGAGAACAUCAUCAUCGAUACAUACUCGUACUUCCCCCAAAUCUAAACCUAAAACCAACCCAAACUCACACAAACAAACAAAAAAGAGAACAACAGCCACAGACACAGCCACAGCCACAUCAGCAAGAGCGACAACAAGAACUAAACAUUUUUCUGAAUACAACUUUUUCUACACUGUAAAAAACGCAACUGCAACUCUUUUGAUAUGUACGAGUACUAUGUUUUGUCCUACUCUCGACCCAUAGUACCUAUUUGUCCAAUUUUACAUACACUUUUUUUGCUAAUUUGUAAGCUUAGUUUGUUAGUUUUUUAAAUGCGCUGAAUGUACUGAGAAAUUGGUUUUGAUUUGCUAAAUAAACUGGUAUAAAACUAAUUUAAACAAAACGAAA